Molecule: ribosomal RNA, 486 nt
Filed under: uncultured bacterium
Lineage: Bacteria
Description: partial 16S ribosomal RNA
Rfam family: Bacterial small subunit ribosomal RNA
Source: RNAcentral
GAUGAACGCUGGCGGCGUGCCUAAUACAUGCAAGUCGAACGCUGGAAAUCUAGCUUGCUAGAUUGAAGGAGUGGCGAACGGGUGAGUAAUACAUAAGCAACCUACCCACGAAGACUGGGAUAAUCUCUGGAAACGGGGACUAAUACCGGAUAGGUAAUCGGAAGGCAUCUUCUGAUUAUUAAAGGUUAAAAACACUGGUGGAUGGGCUUAUGGCGCAUUAGUUAGUUGGUGAGGUAACGGCCCACCAAGACGAUGAUGCGUAGCCGGCCUGAGAGGGUGAACGGCCACAUUGAGACUGAGACACGGCCCAGACUCCUACGGGAGGCAGCAGUAGGGAAUUUUCAGCAAUGGGGGAAACCCUGACCGAGCAACGCCGCGUGAGUGAUGACGGCCUUCGGGUUGUAAAGCUCUGUUGUAAGGGAAGAACGGUAGAUAGAGAAUAGCUAAAUGACGGUACCUUACCAGAAAGCCACGGCUAACUACGUG